Molecule: ribosomal RNA, 497 nt
Filed under: uncultured bacterium
Lineage: Bacteria
Description: partial 16S ribosomal RNA
Rfam family: Bacterial small subunit ribosomal RNA
Source: RNAcentral
GACGAACGCUGGCGGCGUGCCUAAUACAUGCAAGUAGAACGCUGAAGAGAGGAGCUUGCUCUUCUUGGAUGAGUUGCGAACGGGUGAGUAACGCGUAGGUAACCUGCCUUGUAGCGGGGGAUAACUAUUGGAAACGAUAGCUAAUACCGCAUAACAAUGGAUGACCCAUGUCAUUUAUUUGAAAGGGGCAAAUGCUCCACUACAAGAUGGACCUGCGUUGUAUUAGCUAGUAGGUGAGGUAACGGCUCACCUAGGCGACGAUACAUAGCCGACCUGAGAGGGUGAGCGGCCACACUGGGACUGAGACACGGCCCAGACUCCUACGGGAGGCAGCAGUAGGGAAUCUUCGGCAAUGGGGGCAACCCUGACCGAGCAACGCCGCGUGAGUGAAGAAGGUUUUCGGAUCGUAAAGCUCUGUUGUAAGUCAAGAACGAGUGUGAGAGUGGAAAGUUCACACUGUGACGGUAGCUUACCAGAAAGGGACGGCUAACUACGUG